CGUGCGGCCAGCGGGGGGCGUGGUGUGCACGUUAACCCUGGCGUUUCUGAACCCAGAGCGUCCCAAGUCUUUCUCGGUGGAUCUGCAGCUCACAGGUCUACAGACUGGUUGAUUUUACCUCAUGUAUAUCAAGGAAGAUGCCAUGCCAAUGAUCCCUCUCUGGUGAAGAAGAGAAAAUUCACAGCGCUUGCAUCCUGGCGCCUGCUGGGGUCCCAGAAGCCAGUUUGUUUGACUGACGCGCAGCGCCCGUCGCCCAGCAGGAUUCCACCGUAAACACGAUUUCCUCUGACGGGAGCCCGCCUGCUUGUCAUGCAGGCACGGUCUCACUGAGCAGACUGUUUUCCUCAGUGGAAGGAGGUCACUCCUGCACGUCCAUGAUCACUCCUGAGAUGCUCCUCACGAUAUGCAUGCAGCCCAGUCUCCUCAGAGGACUCAGCCACUUAGGUU
Molecule: long non-coding RNA, 447 nt
Filed under: Equus caballus (horse)
Lineage: Eukaryota; Metazoa; Chordata; Mammalia; Perissodactyla; Equidae
Description: lncRNA (ENSECAG00000056004.1)
Source: RNAcentral